This 468-nucleotide ribosomal RNA is filed under the name uncultured bacterium. RNAcentral describes it as "partial 16S ribosomal RNA". It matches the Rfam family "Bacterial small subunit ribosomal RNA", at positions 28 to 507 of the family's 1533-position model. The record is from RNAcentral.
GACGAACGCUGGCGGCGUGCUUAACACAUGCAAGUCGAACGGAAAGGCCCUGCUUUUGUGGGGUGCUCGAGUGGCGAACGGGUGAGUAACACGUGAGUAACCUGCCCUUGACUUUGGUAUAACUUCAGGAAACUGGGGCUAAUACCGGAUAGGAGCUCCUGCUGCAUGGUGGGGGUUGGAAAGUUUCGGCGGUUGGGGAUGGACUCGCGGCUUAUCAGCUUGUUGGUGGGGUAGUGGCUUACCAAGGCUUUGACGGGUAGCAGGCCUGAGAGGGUGACCGGAAAAAUUGGGACUGAGAGACGGCCAAGACUGCAACGGGAGGCAGCAGUGGGGAAUAGUGCAAAAGGGGCGGAAGCCUGAUGCAGCAACGCCGCGUGCGGGAUGACGGCCUUCGGGUUGUAAACCGAUUUCGCCUGUGACGAAGAGUGAGUGACGGUAAUGGGUAAAGAAGCACCGGCUAACUACGUG